CUUGCAUAUAUCUUAGAAUGCNCAAGUAUUUUUUCAAGGAAAACAAAAUUUUGCAGAUAUGCUAAGUCCUGCUGUCCUGGAUCCAGAAGGGCCUACAUAUGUGAAGCUAGAAGCUUCCUUUCCCUACAUGAUUCCCAUGCAUGUUUUGUAUUUUUCUUAGUAUGUUCAUAUUUAUACAUAACAUUUUAGGGAAAUUUUACAUAAAUGAUACCUUCUGAAAACUAACUUUUGCAGCUUGCCUUUUCAUUCAACAUUAUACAGAUUUAUUUGACAGAUCAUUCACUUUUUAAAAAUAUUUUUUUAAAUAUUUAUUUUUUAUUUGUAGUCAGACACAAUACCUUUAUUUUGUUUAUUUAUAUGUUGUGCCGAGGAUCGAACCCAGGGCCUUUCAUGCUAGGUGAGCGCUCUACCGCUGAGCCACAACCCCAGCCCAGAUCAUCAUUUUAAACAUGGCAUUUUAUUCAAAGUAUGCAAGUAUACUUCACUAAGGGACAAUUUGAUUCAUUUGUUUGCUUAAUUUAUUUUUUUUUACUCUUAACAAUUUUUUUGAAAGUAUCCUUAUUUCUAGUUUUGUGUGCAUUUAUAUAAGAGCUUCCUUGGAUUGACACUUGCAGUAGAAUUGCUAGGGGAUCAGAACAUGUUUGUUCUAGAUGUUUGUUGCUACAGUAUAGGAUAUUUGUAAAUUUUCUUGAAGAAACUUCUAAAAGCUCUAUUUGUAGUUUUAUGAGUGUGUCUGUAUAUUUUGUAGAAUUUUUCACAUGAUUGCAUUAUCUACAAAUAAUAGACUUUUUCUUUUUUAGUUGUUAUGCCUUUAAUUCUUAUUGCUUUGUUAAGACUGCCUGUGUAAUGUUGGAUAGUGGUAACAUAGAAAACAUUUUUCUCUUGUUACUGACUUUAAAGGCAAUACCUCAGGUGUUUCAUUAUUAAAUUAUGAAUAAGCAUGGUGUUUUUUUCCUAUUCCCUGCCUUUUAGAUUAGAUCACUUCAUUUGUUUUAAUCCCAUUCCCCCCUUAUUGGCU
Molecule: long non-coding RNA, 1018 nt
Filed under: Marmota monax (woodchuck)
Lineage: Eukaryota; Metazoa; Chordata; Mammalia; Rodentia; Sciuridae
Source: RNAcentral